Molecule: non-coding RNA, 67 nt
Organism: Streptococcus ratti FA-1 = DSM 20564
Lineage: Bacteria; Bacillati; Bacillota; Bacilli; Lactobacillales; Streptococcaceae
Source: Rfam
CAAUAAUCAUGAUGGUCAAAGCUCAUGAGAAUUGUAGGUCUUUUUGACGUACAAUUUUCGAGGGUUU